UAGUCCACGCCGUAAACGAUGAGUGCUAAGUGUUGGAGGGUUUCCGCCCUUCAGUGCUGCAGCUAACGCAUUAAGCACUCCGCCUGGGGAGUACGACCGCAAGGUUGAAACUCAAAGGAAUUGACGGGGGCCCGCACAAGCGGUGGAGCAUGUGGUUUAAUUCGAAGCAACGCGAAGAACCUUACCAGGUCUUGACAUCCUCUGACAACCCUAGAGAUAGGGCUUUCCCUUCGGGGACAGAGUGACAGGUGGUGCAUGGUUGUCGUCAGCUCGUGUCGUGAGAUGUUGGGUUAAGUCCCGCAACGAGCGCAACCCUUAUUUCUAGUUGCCAUUUGGAACUCUAGAAAGACUGUCGGUUAUAAACCGGNGGAAGGCGGGGAUGACGUCAAGUCAGCAUGCCCCUUAUGCCCUGGGCUACGACACGUGCUACAAUGGACGAGACAAUGAGUUACAAAUCUGCGAAGAUAAGUUAAUCUAUAAACACGGCCUCAGUUCGGACUUGCAGGCUGAACUCGCC
RNAcentral lists this ribosomal RNA (517 nucleotides) under uncultured bacterium. RNAcentral describes it as "bacterial SSU rRNA". It matches the Rfam family "Bacterial small subunit ribosomal RNA", at positions 791 to 1316 of the family's 1533-position model. The record is from RNAcentral.